This 485-nucleotide ribosomal RNA is filed under the name Lodderomyces orthopsilosis. Its description in RNAcentral is "Candida orthopsilosis partial large subunit ribosomal RNA". It matches the Rfam family "Eukaryotic large subunit ribosomal RNA", at positions 151 to 655 of the family's 3401-position model. Lineage: Eukaryota; Fungi; Ascomycota; Pichiomycetes; Serinales; Debaryomycetaceae. The record is from RNAcentral.
AGAAGGUAUCUUUGGGUCUGGCUCUUGUCUAUGUUUCUUGGAACAGAACGUCACAGAGGGUGAGAAUCCCGUGCGAUGAGAUGUCCCAGACCUAUGUAAAGUUCCUUCGAAGAGUCGAGUUGUUUGGGAAUGCAGCUCUAAGUGGGUGGUAAAUUCCAUCUAAAGCUAAAUAUUGGCGAGAGACCGAUAGCGAACAAGUACAGUGAUGGAAAGAUGAAAAGAACUUUGAAAAGAGAGUGAAAAAGUACGUGAAAUUGUUGAAAGGGAAGGGCUUGAGAUCAGACUUGGUAUUUUGUAUGUUACUCUCUCGGGGGUGGCCUCUACAGUUUACCGGGCCAGCAUCAGUUUGGGCGGUAGGACAAUUGCAAAGAAAUGUGGCACUGCCUCGGUAGUGUGUUAUAGUCUUUGUCGAUACUGCCAGCCUAGACUGAGGACUGCGGCUUCGGCCUAGGAUGUUGGCAUAAUGAUCUUAAGUCGCCCGUCUU